GCGGGAGUAGCUCAGUUGGUAGAGCGCUAGCCUUCCAAGCUGGAUGUCGAGGGUUCGAGUCCCUUCUCCCGCUCCA
This 76-nucleotide transfer RNA is filed under the name Candidatus Dormiibacterota bacterium. RNAcentral describes it as "tRNA-Gly". It matches the Rfam family "tRNA". From Rfam's summary of the family: Transfer RNA (tRNA) molecules are approximately 80 nucleotides in length. Their secondary structure includes four short double-helical elements and three loops (D, anti-codon, and T loops). Lineage: Bacteria; Bacillati; Candidatus Dormiibacterota. RNAcentral also lists the same sequence under 3 other names. The record is from RNAcentral.